This 427-nucleotide unclassified non-coding RNA is filed under the name plant metagenome. Its description in RNAcentral is "partial contains 5.8S ribosomal RNA, internal transcribed spacer 2, and large subunit ribosomal RNA". It matches the Rfam family "Bacterial small subunit ribosomal RNA", at positions 358 to 777 of the family's 1533-position model. The record is from RNAcentral.
GGAAUCUUCCACAAUGGGCGAAAGCCUGAUGGAGCAACGCCGCGUGGGUGAAGAAGGUCUUCGGAUCGUAAAACCCUGUUGUUAGAGAAGAAAGUGCGUGAGAGUAACUGUUCACGUUUCGACGGUAUCUAACCAGAAAGCCACGGCUAACUACGUGCCAGCAGCCGCGGUAAUACGUAGGUGGCAAGCGUUAUCCGGAUUUGUUGGGCGUAAAGAGAACGCAGGCGGUCUUUUAAGUCUGAUCUGAAAGCCUUCGGCUUAACCGGAGUAGUGCAUUGGAAACUGGGAGACUUGAGUGCAGAAGAGGAGAGUGGAACUCCAUGUGUAGCGGUGAAAUGCGUAGAUAUAUGGAAGAACACCAGUGGCGAAAGCGGCUCUCUGGUCUGUAACUGACGCUGAGGUUCGAAAGCGUGGGUAGCAAACAGGA